Molecule: long non-coding RNA, 1067 nt
Organism: Bombus pascuorum
Lineage: Eukaryota; Metazoa; Arthropoda; Insecta; Hymenoptera; Apidae
Exons: 2
Source: RefSeq, a predicted model, not a curated record
AGUUGCGCAUGUUUUCCCAUACCAUGGAACGCUUGCACCGAUAUAUCGUUAGGGGAGAUUCGUUUUCAAGUACGAUUCAAUCGUCACUGUCGCUUCAUCGCCAUUUCCGGGGAGCAUGGAGCACCGUUCACAAUCGAUUCACUGUUUUAUACGAAUAAAGCGUUCUUAUCUCACGUUGUUCGCACUUUGGCUUCUUCUUUUCCUUCCUUCCUUCGUUCUGCCAGUGAAAUUACGAAUCGGAACGAAAAAAUUACGAUGAAAAAACGUUAAUGAAUGGAAGGCGAUAAAACCGGGAGAUCGAGGGAUAACGAGGUAUCGACGGGUACAUAAGAGCACAGAGCGCGUUCAGGACUACGUAGUGUUGGUAGCUGAAAUAAACUGACGUAGGUUAGGGGAUCGAAGAACAGCUGGGCUCGGCCUGGCUGCUGUACGCCAUCACUGACUCACUCAACCUCUUCUCUCACUCUUCCACUCGAUCCUUUAUGCAAUACCUCUCGCUCUUCCAACACUGUGUCUUUUUCUAUCUCUCUUUUUAUCCUGUUUUCUCUCUAUUCUCCCUCCCUCGCUCGUGCACACUCCAUGGAUCUGUGACUGUCCUUUUUCUUCUUACGCUACUGGAUAAAUUCGUUUCUCUCUUGCUCUGCCGCUGCCGAUGAUACGUACGUUCUUUCUCUGCUGCGUGAAAUUGUCCUGCCUUUUUUGACGUUUCGAUCUGCAUCUUUGAUUUAUUGGUUUUCUCAUAAGACACAAAGGAUCGUUCUCUUUACCUAUCAAGGACGAGUUCUUGAGCGUAGGUUGAUCAGGAAACGAAUUGGCGCCUUGGUAUAUCGAUUAGAAUGCAACGUGCGUCAAGUAGAAGCUGCUUUUUAUUGUUCUUUGUUAUCGCUGUUUAUCAAAUACUUUGCAUAUUAUUCUAUAUACCGUAUUUCCUAUAUUGAUAAAACGGGGUUUGCGGUGUGUGAUUUAAUCAGUGAUUUCGCGAUUUAUCCGUGAAUUUGUUCCGAUUGCUCUACUUUGUGCAAUGUGUACAUUACGUCAACAAUAAUACCGACAGAAAAGGGUCGCAG